Pelobates cultripes (western spadefoot toad) is the source of this 159-nucleotide non-coding RNA. The record is from the annotation of a GenBank genome assembly. Lineage: Eukaryota; Metazoa; Chordata; Amphibia; Anura; Pelobatidae.
ACACAUUCCAGCCAAUCAGCAGCAGACCCUCCUUUCCAGGCCCUCCCACCUCCUGGACAGCAUCCAUUUUACAUUCAUUGUGAAGCUGCAUUCUUAGUGAGCUGUCCAGGAGGUGGGAGGGUCUGGGAGGGAGGGUCUGCUGCUGAUUUGCUGGAAUGU